GAUGAAGAACGUAGCGAAAUGCGAUCAGUAAUGUGAAUUGCAGAAUUCAGUGAAUCAUCGAAUCUUUGAACGCACAUUGCGCCCGCCAGUAUUCUGGCGGGCAUGCCUGUUCGAGCGUCAUUACAACCCUCAGGCCCCCGGGCCUGGCGUUGGGGAUCGGCGGAAGCCCCCUGCGGGCACAACGCCGUCCCCCAAAUACAGUGGCGGUCCCGCCGCAGCUUCCAUUGCGUAGUAGCUAACACCUCGCAACUGGAGAGCGGCGCGGCCACGCCGUAAAACACCCAACUUCUGAAUGUUGACCUCGAAUCAGGUAGGAAUACCCGCUGAACUUAAGCAUAUCAAUAAGCGGAGGA
RNAcentral lists this unclassified non-coding RNA (353 nucleotides) under soil metagenome. RNAcentral describes it as "partial contains 5.8S ribosomal RNA, internal transcribed spacer 2, and large subunit ribosomal RNA". The stretch from base 1 to 120 matches the Rfam family "5.8S ribosomal RNA", at positions 35 to 154 of the family's 154-position model. The record is from RNAcentral.